AAACAUACAAAAUCCCUAGCGUGAAUAAUUUGGCUGUGUGCAUAAACUUGCAUUUGUACGGAUAUGAUCAACAGUCCAAACCCUAAAAUAUACAAACGCACAAACGCCUACACACAAGCACACUUGCGCACACACACACAAUCACACCCCCCCUUCGGCCCCCGUAACCCAGUACGAUUUCCUGCAAAUUCCAAAGUCAGAUCCCGGCUGGAACAUUUCAGCCCGCCUGCCACGUCAGUUUGCCUCCACCAUCCUACCUCUCCCGUUCUUUCUUUCUCUGCCUCUUCGCACAAGGCAACCGACUUAACAUGUACCGAUUCCAUUUUGGUGGCCGGCCACUCCGAGACCAAAGGACCGCAGCUGCAUCUUUAGCAGUAGUUUGUAGCUGUCUUUUUAUGACGCAGAAGAAUGGAUAUGACUGAGGCCUUACGAAGAAGAUCGAGCGGCGAGAUGGCGACCUGCAGCUGCAAUGACCUCAGGGUCCUUCCCCCCAUCAGCCACCAGAGUCCUAACCCCCCCGCCUGCCCAGUGUUCAGACUACCUGUUCAUCAGGCUACAGCUGAACAGUAGUCUGCACAUUGGUUAGGCUGGGCUGGGACACACACGCCUCCAACCACAGAGGAUGAUCGUCACUUGGGGAUAGUUUAUCUUCACAGUGCUUAAUAUGGUAUCUUAAUGUCUAUGCAUCCAUGUGGAGCUGUGUCGUCCUAUUUAGCCAUUUGUCUCACCUCCUCGUCUUUGUACCAGGAAAGGGACUCAGCGGUCAGGAUAAACCAGUACUCCUUGGAGCCUCCUUUCAUGAUGCUGAUGUUGAUGGUUAGCCAGCCUUUCCUGAUAACCUGCACAGCGAGAAGAAGAAAGAGAAGGGUGGUAGGGAGAGUGGGGGCACCAGGAGGAAGGAGGAAAACAGCUUUAUCAAUCAGGUUUAUGCAUUGGUGACAAAAUACAGUGAUGUGACUAACACUAAUAAAAUCUUACCUCCUUACCUGCAAGGUCA
Molecule: long non-coding RNA, 997 nt
Organism: Platichthys flesus (European flounder)
Lineage: Eukaryota; Metazoa; Chordata; Actinopteri; Pleuronectiformes; Pleuronectidae
Exons: 2
Source: RefSeq, a predicted model, not a curated record